RNAcentral lists this ribosomal RNA (274 nucleotides) under uncultured bacterium. Its description in RNAcentral is "partial 16S ribosomal RNA". It matches the Rfam family "Bacterial small subunit ribosomal RNA", at positions 523 to 796 of the family's 1533-position model. The record is from RNAcentral.
AUACGGAGGGUGCAAGCGUUAAUCGGAAUUACUGGGCGUAAAGCGCGCGUAGGCGGUUAUUUAAGUCAGAUGUGAAAUCCCUGGGCUCAACCUAGGAACUGCAUCUGAUACUGGGUAACUAGAGUUUUGGAGAGGUAAGUGGAAUUUCCGGUGUAGCGGUGAAAUGCAUAGAGAUCAGAAGGAACACCAGUGGCGAAGGCGACUUACUGGCCAAAAACUGACGCUGAGGUGCGAAGGCGUGGGUAGCAAACAGGAUUAGAUACCCUAGUAGUCC